AGUAGAGAAGAGAGACCUGGGAGACAGGACCAGACAAGCAGAGAGAUUAACUUGAAGCUCCAGAGACAGAAGCAACUCUGAAGCCUGCAAGUAUCACAGUGGUGCUGAAACCGGGAAGAAGUAUCAAGCUGCCAUGGAAGCCUCUCCCCUGGCUGAAAUUGUUAGCUUGUUGGCCCAGAUCAAGCAGAGUCAACAUCAGGCUCUACUACAGGUGUUCAAAGAGCAACAGAGCCACUUUGAGGACCUUGUAAAGGGGCAGAAAGAGGAUUGGAAAGUGGUCCAGAGACUGCUGCACUCCACCCACACUCCAGUCAUGGCCAUCAUGGAAGAUUGGGCAGUCCAACUACUCCCCCAUGAGCUGACUCCCCCGUCAGUGUUUCCAAAUCUUGACCCUUGUAGGAGGUGGAUUUUAUUGAGAAAUGGGACUAGAGGAACUGAUAGAUUAAGUGGGUCUGGAACAAUUCAUAGCCCUGUUACCAGAAGGAACUAUUGCUUGGGUUCAGUGCCACUAGAAGAGGCCACCAGCCUGGCAGAGGCUCACCUGGUGGUAUACAUGGUGACAGGAACACUAUCACAGCCAAGUUGGGGUUCUUGCUCUCGUUCUUUCUCACUACCCUGGGGAACUGGUUCCCUGGUUAAGUUUGGGUUUGGAUUCUUCAAGUGGUGCCAUUAUACAGAUUGGACAUCUCAUCUCUAAGCUGUAGGGGAGUGCCCAUUUUAAAUUAAACCCUGAACCUAG
Molecule: long non-coding RNA, 739 nt
Organism: Pygocentrus nattereri (red-bellied piranha)
Lineage: Eukaryota; Metazoa; Chordata; Actinopteri; Characiformes; Serrasalmidae
Exons: 2
Source: RefSeq, a predicted model, not a curated record